RNAcentral lists this transfer RNA (56 nucleotides) under Borassus flabellifer. RNAcentral describes it as "tRNA-Ile". The record is from RNAcentral. Lineage: Eukaryota; Viridiplantae; Streptophyta; Magnoliopsida; Arecales; Arecaceae. RNAcentral also lists the same sequence under 2 other names.
GGGCUAUUAGCUCAGUGGUAGAGCGCGCCCCUGAUAAUUGCGUCCAGGAUGGCCCA